This 425-nucleotide ribosomal RNA is filed under the name uncultured bacterium. Its description in RNAcentral is "bacterial SSU rRNA". It matches the Rfam family "Bacterial small subunit ribosomal RNA", at positions 356 to 774 of the family's 1533-position model. The record is from RNAcentral.
GGGGAAUAUUGGACAAUGGGCGCAAGCCUGAUCCAGCCAUGCCGCGUGGGUGAAGAAGGCCUUCGGGUUGUAAAGCCCUUUUGUUGGGAAAGAAAAGCAGCCGGCCAAUACCCGGUUGUUCUGACGGUACCCAAAGAAUAAGCACCGGCUAACUUCGUGCCAGCAGCCGCGGUAAUACGAAGGGUGCAAGCGUUACUCGGAAUUACUGGGCGUAAAGGGUGCGUAGGCGGUUUAUCAAGUCAGGGGUGAAAGGCUACGGCUCAACCGUAGUGAGCCUCUGAAACUGGUGAACUUGAGUGUAGGAGAGGAAAGUGGAAUUCCCAGUGUAGCGGUGAAAUGCGUAGAUAUUAGGAAGAACACCAGUGGCGAAGGCGGCUUUCUGGACUGUAACUGACGCUGAUGCAUGAAAGCGUGGGGAGCAAACA